CAGCAGCCGCGGUAAUACAGAGGGUGCAAGCGUUAAUCGGUAUUACUGGGCGUAAAGGGCGCGUAGGCGGCCAUUCAAGUUAGAUGUGAAAGCCCGGGGCUCAACCUCGGAACUGCCUUCAAUACUGGCGAUCUUGAGUAUGAGAGAGGUGUGUGGAACUCCGAGUGUAGAGGUGAAAUUCGUAGAUAUUCGGAAGAACACCAGUGGCGAAGGCGACACACUGGCUCAUUACUGACGCUGAGGCUCGAAAGCGUGGGGAGCAAACAGGAUUAGAUACCCCGGUAGUCCCUGUCUCUUAUAC
This 301-nucleotide ribosomal RNA is filed under the name uncultured bacterium. Its description in RNAcentral is "partial 16S ribosomal RNA". It matches the Rfam family "Bacterial small subunit ribosomal RNA", at positions 509 to 807 of the family's 1533-position model. The record is from RNAcentral.